This 480-nucleotide ribosomal RNA is filed under the name uncultured bacterium. Its description in RNAcentral is "partial 16S ribosomal RNA". It matches the Rfam family "Bacterial small subunit ribosomal RNA", at positions 28 to 507 of the family's 1533-position model. The record is from RNAcentral.
GACGAACGCUGGCGGCGCGCCUAACACAUGCAAGUCGAGCGAUGAAAUUUUAACCGAUCUCUUCGGAGAGAAGAUAAAAUGGAUUAGCGGCGGACGGGUGAGUAACACGUGAGAAACCUGCCUUUCACAAGGGGAUAGCCUCGGGAAACCGGGAUUAAUACCCUAUGACACAUUUCCUUCGCAUGGAAGAAAUGUUAAAACUCCGGUGGUGAAAGAUGGUCUCGCGCCUGAUUAGCUAGUUGGUGGGGUAACGGCCCACCAAGGCCAUGAUCAGUAACCGGGCUGAGAGGGUGAACGGUCACAUUGGAACUGAGACACGGUCCAAACUCCUACGGGAGGCAGCAGUGGGGAAUAUUGCACAAUGGAGGAAACUCUGAUGCAGCGACGCCGCGUGAGCGAUGAAGGCUUUCGAGUCGUAAAGCUCUGUCCUAUGGGAAGAUAAUGACGGUACCAAAGGAGGAAGCCCCGGCUAACUACGUG